CAGUCGCCGCGGGAAUACGGAGGGAGCUAGCGUUAUUCGGAAUUACUGGGCGUAAGGCGCACGUAGGCGGCUUUGUAAGUUAGAGGUGAAAGCCUGGAGCUCAACUCCAGAAUUGCCUUUAAGACUGCAUCGCUUGAAUCCAGGAGAGGUGAGUGGAAUUCCGAGUGUAGAGGUGAAAUUCGUAGAUAUUCGGAAGAACACCAGUGGCGAAGGCGGCUCACUGGACUGGUAUUGACGCAGAGGUGCGAAAGCGUGGGGAGCAAACAGGAUUAGAUACCCCGGUAGUCCCUGUCUCUUAUAC
Molecule: ribosomal RNA, 301 nt
Filed under: uncultured bacterium
Lineage: Bacteria
Description: partial 16S ribosomal RNA
Rfam family: Bacterial small subunit ribosomal RNA
Source: RNAcentral